Salvelinus fontinalis (brook trout) is the source of this 1438-nucleotide long non-coding RNA. RefSeq lists it as uncharacterized. NCBI's taxonomy places the organism in Eukaryota, Metazoa, Chordata, Actinopteri, Salmoniformes, Salmonidae. The transcript is spliced from 2 exons. The record is from RefSeq and is a predicted model, not a curated record.
CCUGCUAACAUGACAGUGUGCCUGCUAACAUGACAGUGUACCUGCUAACAUGACUGUGUACCUGCUAACAUGACUGUGUACCUGCUAACAUGACAGUGUGCCUGCUAACAUGACUGUGUACCUGCUAACAUGACAGUGUUUCUGCUAACAUGACAGUGUGCCUGCUAACAUGACAGUGUGCCUGCUAACAUGACAGUGUGCCUGCUAACAUGACAGUGUGCCUGCUAACAUGACAGUGUGCCUGCUAACAUGACUGUGUACCUGCUAACAUGACUGUGUGCCUGCGUGUGUUUGUUUGUUGUCUAUAACAGUUUUUACUGGACCACCAACUUACUGUUCCAUGUGUUGUUUUCCAGGUGAUACCAAGCACUAACAUCAGGCAGAAGCUACAUCGAUGGAAUUGGGAAGAUGGACAUUCAACAGGGAUGGAGAGAAGCUACUGGAUGUUCCCUGGACUGGAUCCUGUAUCAGCAGCAGCAGUGGAGGUUCCAUUUUGGAUCUGGCUAUCAUCAAUAUCAUUUAUUAAUAUCAGAAUACAGCCCUUUAGACUAAUGUGAGGAGGGUUGUCCAGUGUUCCUCAGCUCCUUCUGGACAGGUACAUAAUGGGACACUUCACGUUUCCUCAGCCCCUUCUGGACAGGUACAUAAUGGGACACUUCACGUUUCCUCAGCCCCUUCUGGACAGGUACAUAAUGGGACACUUCACGUUUCCUCAGCCCCUUCUGGACAGGUACAUAAUGGGACACAUCACGUUUCCUCAGCCCCUUCUGGACAGGUACAUAAUGGGACACGUCACAUUUCCUCAGCCCCUUCUGGAUAGGUAUAUAAUGGGACAGUCCACUUUACAUCAAAUCCCCCAUGGAAAGGUACAGUCCACUUUAACCACCAACACCCCUUGUCCCCAUAACGUACAUGGGACAGUCUCACAUUUCUUCUGGAAUAAGACAUGACAGUCAUCCACUCCAGUUCACCCAAUGGGAUUACAACAGAAUGACUUGUAUUCUACUGCACAUGUCUAUAGGACUGCCUUUCUGUUUAAAACACCUAUGUGAUGCACACUGAGAUGCUGAUGGACUUAUUGAACAUGAUACAUGUACUUCUAUGUUCUAAUUCACUAUAUUAUGCUUUUAUUGACACUUGAAGAAUGCUGAACAGGUCCGUUGAAGGGCACUUCAAUAUGCCACUAUUUCAACAACAUAAAAUAAACCUGUAUAUUGAGACAUGUUUACCUUCUCAUCGUAUCAAAUGUGACAAUAUUACAGUACAUUGCAGCACUUGCCACUUGUCAGGUCGCCAUUGUAAACAAUGAUUUGUCUCACCUGGAUAAUUAAAUGUUAGAUUAAACAAAUAAUACAUUGUUCCUCGCCGGUUUUGCAAACCAGUUGACAACUCUAUCCAAACAGCUUCUAUCCAAACAGUAAAUGUUGACAUGAAUGAA